RNAcentral lists this transfer RNA (69 nucleotides) under Craugastor ranoides. RNAcentral describes it as "tRNA-Ala". It matches the Rfam family "tRNA". Rfam says of the family: Transfer RNA (tRNA) molecules are approximately 80 nucleotides in length. Their secondary structure includes four short double-helical elements and three loops (D, anti-codon, and T loops). Lineage: Eukaryota; Metazoa; Chordata; Amphibia; Anura; Craugastoridae. The record is from RNAcentral.
GAGACUUUAUCUUAAUAAAAGAUUCUGAGUUGCAUUCAGUAGAUGUGGGUUAGCGUCCCGCAAGUCUUU